This 323-nucleotide ribosomal RNA is filed under the name uncultured eukaryote. RNAcentral describes it as "partial 18S ribosomal RNA". It matches the Rfam family "Eukaryotic small subunit ribosomal RNA", at positions 1470 to 1796 of the family's 1831-position model. The record is from RNAcentral.
CCCUUAGAUGUUCUGGGCCGCACGCGCGCUACACUGAUGAAGGCAACGAGUUUAUCAACCUGCACCGGAAGGUGUGGGUAAUCUUUUGAAACUUCAUCGUGCUGGGGAUAGAUCUUUGCAAUUUUCGAUCUUAAACGAGGAAUUCCUAGUAAGCGCAAGUCAUCAGCUUGCGUUGAUUACGUCCCUGCCCUUUGUACACACCGCCCGUCGCUACUACCGAUUGAAUGGUCCGGUGAAAUCUCGGGACGGCGGCUUGGUCGCUUGCGUCCGACUGCUGAAACUUGAUUAAACCAUAUCAUUUAGAGGAAGGUGAAGUCGUAACA